AGUGAACGCUGGCGGUAGGCCUAACACAUACAAGUCGAACGGCAGCACAGUAAGAGCUUGCUCUUACGGGUGGCGAGUGGCGGACGGGUGAGGAAUACAUCGGAAUCUACUUUUUCGUGGGGGAUAACGUAGGGAAACUUACGCUAAUACCGCAUACGACCUACGGGUGAAAGCAGGGGAUCUUCGGACCUUGCGCGAUUGAAUGAGCCGAUGUCGGAUUAGCUAGUUGGCGGGGUAAAGGCCCACCAAGGCGACGAUCCGUAGCUGGUCUGAGAGGAUGAUCAGCCACACUGGAAUCGAGACACGGUCCAGACUCCUACGGGAGGCAGCAGUGGGGAAUAUUGGACAAUGGGCGCAAGCCUGAUCCAGCCAUACCGCGUGGGUGAAGAAGGCCUUCGGGUGGUAAAGCCCUUUUGUUGGGAAAGAAAAGCAGCAGGUUAAGACCCCGCUGUUCUGACGGUACCCAAAGAAUAAACACCGGCUAACUUCGU
RNAcentral lists this ribosomal RNA (491 nucleotides) under uncultured bacterium. Its description in RNAcentral is "partial 16S ribosomal RNA". It matches the Rfam family "Bacterial small subunit ribosomal RNA", at positions 29 to 506 of the family's 1533-position model. The record is from RNAcentral.